Molecule: ribosomal RNA, 570 nt
Filed under: Phillipsia chinensis
Lineage: Eukaryota; Fungi; Ascomycota; Pezizomycetes; Pezizales; Sarcoscyphaceae
Description: eukaryotic LSU rRNA
Rfam family: 5.8S ribosomal RNA (bases 205-358)
Source: RNAcentral
CCUAAGGGGGUACUGCGGAGGUCAUUAAAAACGAUUAAGAGCCGCCGGGUAAACGCCCGGCGCGCUCGAGUUCCAAACCCUCUGUGUACCUUUACCUUUGUUGCUUCCCGUCCGGGUGCGCCCCGGCCGGGGAGGUCCAUUCAAACUCUUGUUUUCUUGUUGCAGUCAGUAUGAGCGGCUCGUCCGCGCUAAUUAAAAAGUUAAAACUUUCAACAACGGAUCUCUUGGUUCUCGCAUCGAUGAAGAACGCAGCGAAAUGCGAUAAGUAGUGUGAAUUGCAGAAUUCAGUGAAUCAUCGAAUCUUUGAACGCACAUUGCGCCCUCUGGCAUUCCGGAGGGCAUGCCUGUCCGAGCGUCGUUAAACUCCUCAAGCAUUCUUUUGCUUGGUCAUGGCGGAAGAUCGUCCUUGUGGCGUUCCCCGCUCAAAGAGAUCUGGCGGAGAGGCCUGGCCGUCGUGGACGUAGUAAGUUAAUUCCCUUCGUCUUCUGAGCGGCCUAGGUACCCAGCCGUGAACCCCAACGUCUAGGAUUUCCUCGGAUCAGGUAGGGAUACCCGCUGAACUUAAGCAUA